Molecule: non-coding RNA, 73 nt
Organism: Candidatus Pacearchaeota archaeon CG1_02_32_132
Lineage: Archaea; Nanobdellati
Source: Rfam
GUCCCGGUAGCUCAGCAGGUAGAGCGCACGGCUGUUAACCGUGAUGUCAGAGGUUCGAGUCCUCUCCGGGACG